Molecule: ribosomal RNA, 406 nt
Filed under: uncultured bacterium
Lineage: Bacteria
Description: partial 16S ribosomal RNA
Rfam family: Bacterial small subunit ribosomal RNA
Source: RNAcentral
AUUGAACGCUGGCGGCAGGCCUAACACAUGCAAGUCGAGCGAGCGGCGGACGGGUGAGUAAUGUAUAGGGAUCUGACCGAUAGAGGGGGAUGACUACUGGAAACGGUGGCUAAUACCGCAUACUAUCGGAUGCACCAUUAUUGGAUUAGCUAGGAGGUGGGGUAAAGGCUCACCAAGGCGACGAGCUCUCCCUGGUCUGAGAGGAUGAUCCGCCACACUGGGACUGAGACACGGCCCAGACUCCUACGGGAGGCAGCAGUGGGGAAGAUUGCACAAUGGGCGCAAGCCUGAUGCAGCCAUGCCGCGUGGAUGAAGAAGGCCUUAGGGUUGUAAAGUACUUUCAGCGGGGAGGCGUUACCCGCAGAAGAAGCACCGGCUAACUCCGUGCCAGCAGCCGCGGUAAUAC